RNAcentral lists this non-coding RNA (157 nucleotides) under Botryosphaeria dothidea. Lineage: Eukaryota; Fungi; Ascomycota; Dothideomycetes; Botryosphaeriales; Botryosphaeriaceae. The record is from RNAcentral.
UCUCCCACUCUAAAUAUCGAAGAAUUUAGAAUAGGAGGGUGACUACCUGUACCUUUUGGGUCAGGUAACACCCCAUCUACACAAGUCAACUAUUUGGUUGAAUUAUUUUACGGGCGUACGUCCAUGAAAUGAUUAAGUUACAUAUAGACUGGCUCGA